AUACGGAGGGUGCAAGCGUUACUCGGAAUCACUGGGCGUAAAGGGCGCGUAGGCGGAUUAUCAAGUCUCUUGUGAAAUCCAACGGCUUAACCGUUGAACUGCUUGGGAAACUGGUAGUCUAGAGUGAGGGAGAGGCAGAUGGAAUUGGUGGUGUAGGGGUAAAAUCCGUAGAUAUCACCAAGAAUACCCAUUGCGAAGGCGAUCUGCUGGAACUUAACUGACGCUAAGGCGCGAAAGCGUGGGGAGCAAACAGGAUUAGAUACCCUGGUAGUCCACGCCCUAAACGAUGUACACUAGUUGUUGGGGUGCUAGUCAUCUCAGUAAUGCAGCUAACGCAUUAAGUGUACCGCCUGGGGAGUACGGUCGCAAGAUUAAAACUCAAAGGAAUAGACGGGGACCCGCACAAGCGGUGGAGCAUGUGGUUUAAUUCGAAGAUACGCGAAGAACCUUACCUGGGCUUGAUAUCCUAAGAACCUCUUAGAGAUAAGAGGGUGCUAGCUUGCUAGAACUUAGAGACAGGUGCUGCACGGCUGUCGUCAGCUCGUGUCGUGAGAUGUUGGGUUAAGUCCCGCAACGAGCGCAACCCACGUAUUUAGUUGCUAACGGUUCGGCCGAGCACUCUAAAUAGACUGCCUUCGUAAGGAGGAGGAAGGUGUGGACGACGUCAAGUCAUCAUGGCCCUUAUGCCCAGGGCGACACACGUGCUACAAUGGCAUAUACAAUGAGACGCAAUACCGCGAGGUGGAGCAAAUCUAUAAAAUAUGUCCCAGUUCGGAUUGUUCUCUGCAACUCGAGAGCAUGAAGCCGGAAUCGCUAGUA
This 819-nucleotide ribosomal RNA is filed under the name uncultured Campylobacter sp. RNAcentral describes it as "bacterial SSU rRNA". It matches the Rfam family "Bacterial small subunit ribosomal RNA", at positions 523 to 1340 of the family's 1533-position model. Lineage: Bacteria; Pseudomonadati; Campylobacterota; Epsilonproteobacteria; Campylobacterales; Campylobacteraceae. The record is from RNAcentral.